UCGUUUCGUUGCUCCAGCGCUUCCUGAGCAUUUUCCAAAUUUCCCUGCUUGGCAGCAUUCUUCUCUGGACAAGUCUCAUGCUGUCGGCAUUUGCGCCUAACGUGGGGGUCAUGACUGUACUUUUUGGAGGUCUUCACGGCUUGGGCAUCGGAUUCAUGGAGAAUACGAUGGCGGUGACUGUAGCGACCUCGUUCCUGGAGCAUCAGUCUGUCGCAAUGGGUUUGAAAGACGGCGGGCGCACCUUGGCUGUUCUUGUUUUCCCCACCAUUGUAUCCCGUUUAAAUUCAGUAUACGGCGUCCGCAGCACGCUGGCACUUUGUGGAGCGCUUCUUAUGCACGUAACAGCGCUAGUGCUAGUGCUGCGGUGCUGUCCGGUUAGGGAACGACUGUAUUUUGGCCACACUAAUACCGAAACUAGGAGUGGCGUGACACCUAGGUCAAUAGGAAGUAGGCGCCAUUACAAAGGAUCAUUCCAUGGAAACACGAGCACAACAAACGUAACAACUAAGAAUUAUAUGUCCUGUAAAAACUUUGACAGAGCGUCUACAGGCCAGGAAAAUAAUGUUGUGGCUAAGCCGAUUCCACAUAGCGAAAUAAACAUAUACGCUGAGAAGAAAGACACUGGCGGCACCUCAUCAGCACCAGCAAACACUACCAUAAAAGGCAGCAUGAAUCCCGUGACCUCACAAGCACCUGAUUGCGGGCCAGGCUUUGCUAAUAUUUUCCCGCCGCAAGCUGUGAACACGCCUCUGAAGAAUAAUCCAAUUUCUUCGUUGACAAGCAACGUUGAAAGAGUGCGCUGUGAUGAAAACAAAAAGACGGCCUUUCCGUCAGCAAGCAAAGCCGGACUGCUCCUUUUACUUACUGACCCAAGGUUUUACGUACUCGUGUUCCAAAAUUCAGUGACGAAUUACUCAGCAAUUACAUUUAGAACGAUAUUAGUCGACUAUGCAAGGGACAAGGGUGUACCGUUGGCUCAUGCCGAGCUGGUGGGAACAUACUGCGCGGCCACCGACCUACUUGUAGGCCACAUUGCACUGCCAUACCUCUCCGACCGCGGUUUUGUGAACCGAACCUUGCUUGCGUCGCUAACGUUUGCCCUUCUCUCUGCAGCAAUGUUUGCGGUAACCGUUUCUCAAGGUCUAGUAUCUUUCCUCGGCGUAUUUUCAGUAUUGUCCCUAUUCCUGGCGGGGACUUCGUCAUUCUCGCCAUUGUUGAUCACCGGUUAUCUUGGUCCUUGCCGGGUUCCCCUAACCUGGGGUGCCUCAGGACUUGUGACAAGUCCUCUGCUCUUGGCGACACCCGUAAUAACUGGCUAUUUCAGGGACACCAUGGGCUCGUACGACAACCUCGUGCGCCUUAUUGCAGGGUUGGCUGCCAUCUCCGCAAUACUGAU
Molecule: long non-coding RNA, 1396 nt
Organism: Dermacentor albipictus
Lineage: Eukaryota; Metazoa; Arthropoda; Arachnida; Ixodida; Ixodidae
Source: RefSeq, a predicted model, not a curated record